RNAcentral lists this unclassified non-coding RNA (293 nucleotides) under uncultured Bryobacterales bacterium. Its description in RNAcentral is "contains 16S-23S intergenic spacer region". Lineage: Bacteria; Pseudomonadati; Acidobacteriota; Terriglobia; Bryobacterales. The record is from RNAcentral.
AGGACUACGCGGGUAUCUAAUCCUGUUUGCUACCCACGCUUUCGUGUCUCAGCGUCAGCAAUGGUCCAGAAAGCUGUCUACACCACAGGUGUUCCUCCUGAUAUCUACGCAUUUCACCGCUACACCAGGAAUUCCGCUUUCCUCUCCCACGCUCGAGCACCCCAGUUUCCGGCGCACCCUCCCAGUUAAGCCAGGAGAUUUCACACCGAACUUAGAGCACCGCCUACACACUCUUUACGCCCAGUAAUUCCGAACAACGCUCGCUGCCUACGUAUUACCGCGGCUGCUGACAC